UCUUUUUAAUACAAUGCCUAAAACUACCUAUAGCCCUUUCCCAACCCUUAAAUAGAAAUGUACGGUAGAUGUUUCAAUAACAUAAGGCUCCUAACCAAUAAGAAUAGCAUGUCAAGCCUUUUCAUCCAUUUAUUUGAUGAAUUCCUUCAUUCUAGCCUUCUAAUAGACAUUAGAUAAAUGCAUUAAACAUAGGGGGUGAAAAACAAAUGAUCUUUCCAUUUUCGACAAUUAUCGAUACAAGUAAUACACUUGUUUUGUUCAAGAGGGAAGCUUUGAUACCAAUUUGAAAAGACAUCAAUAAUUAUAAGAAUAAGGUAAGUAGUGAUAUGAGUAGUGACACAUGCAUUAGGCAUUAGAGUGUAACUGUGAUAAACAAAGAAAAACAUAAACUAGUUGUUUAUGCAACUCGAUUUUCCUACGCCUAUGGCACCUUGCCAAGAGAGAUAAUCUAUUAUCUUUUAGUCUUGUACAACAUGCUCACCUUUGCACCUAAAGAUGUAGAUCACUCUCCUCUAAGUUCUCUUCUAAAAACUCAAGCAGUAAACAAACCAAAACACUUAUUUACAUUUUCAAUGCAAACAUAAUCACAAGUUCUUUAAUGAACAUAUAAGUGCUAUAACUCUUCGUAUAUGACCUAUACAAGUCUUAAGCGUAUAUACUUGUUUCAACUUAUUAAUAUACUAAAUCAAUUACAAUCAAUCCUCCCUUUUGAAAAGCAAUUGAAAUAACAUAUACAAUAUAUUAAUAAAGUCUAAAAUACUGAGGAAAUAUCAAAGAUAAGUCUUCAAGUAGUCUCAAUCCAAUCUUCUAAUUUCAGGGGAUCCAAUUGCUUGAUCUAAUAUGAUCCAAUCUUUAAAAUAAGUUCCCUGAAAUGGAUUAGUCUUAAAAUAUUGGCUAUCACACAUCCCAAGUAUCAGUAAGAAUUACAACCCAAACAUUUUGUUUCGAAAUAUUGCUGUAGAGGCCAAAAUUUGACCAGGCCCACUUUACAACUCUUAACCCAAACAAAAUAGACCUAAACCCAUACACGGCCCAAAUCAAAACCCAGCUCAAAAACUCAACAUUUUUUGGAACCUUAGGGUUCCCCUCCCUUACGUGUGUCGCUCCUCCUAUGUCAGCCCCCGUCCCAUCGCCCGUACGACCAGCUCCUCUGACACCUGCAAAACCAAAACAGCAAGCAAAACAAAAGACAACAGAGGCAGAAACAAUACAAAGCAGAGAUUGAAGAGUAGCAAGGACAAAAAAAUCACAUGUAAUGCCUCGGCUAUAUAGCCAAAGAACAAAAAAUGUAAAAGGGGGGAAACUGAUUGUAUUUGAGGAAAGGGGGAACCGAUUGUAUUUUUUUGGGGGGUUUAUUUUUUAUUUUUGAAUACAAAAAAAAUGGAAAUAACAAAAAAGAGAUUCAUUCGAAGGUAUAUCUCCAUGCUUUUAGCCUAUACGCAUAAAAAAUAAUACAUAUACAUAUGGAUAUAGAAAGGGCAGGAUUUCUUACCUUUUUGGGUGGUCGGAAAGAAGGGAACCGAAUGGUUUUACCAUUUUCUUUCAAAGAUCGUGCCCUUUUUGGGUGUUUGAGACUCAGAUCCGAGGCGGGGAGGGCCAAAGGGUUAAAAUGGGCCACUUUUGCACGUCCGGCCGCCGUACACAGCGGUCGCCGGUGACGGACGGACGACGGUCCAAUCGCAGGAGGUGGGAUGCCCAGAGAGAAUUCCUCCCUUUCUUUCUUUUUUUUUUCUG
This 1734-nucleotide long non-coding RNA is filed under the name Gossypium barbadense (sea-island cotton). Its description in RNAcentral is "long non-coding RNA (GBAR_LNC009730)". The record is from RNAcentral. Lineage: Eukaryota; Viridiplantae; Streptophyta; Magnoliopsida; Malvales; Malvaceae.